AUGCUCAUCGAAGAUGUCUUCCCAUCUUUGCAGGCCAAUGCUAGAUCGAGAGAGUACAUGAGUGCACGUGCUAUUCUUUCAACCAAGAACGAUCAUGUCGAUGACCUGAAUGACAAAAUGAUCUCCAGGUUUCCAGGCGAAGAAAAGUUAUACCAUAGUUUUGACUCAAUUGAGGAUGACUUGCAGAAUAAUUACACAAUUGAUUUUUUGAACUCAAUCACACCAAAUGGCUUGCCCCCGCAUGUUUUGAAAUUAAAGGUCAACUGUCCAGUCAUUCUGCUCCGGAACCUCGACCCUCAUAAUGGUCUAUGCAAUGGAACACGGCUUAUGAUCAGAGCCUUUCAGGAUAAUGCAAUCGAUGCGGAGAUUGUUGGUGGUCAGCAUGCUGGAAAGAGGGUGUUUAUACCUAGGAUACCUAUGUCACCCUCAGAGGACAUCUCACUUCCUUUCAAACUUAAGAGAAAACAGUUCCCCAUCCGCCUGAGUUUUGCCAUGACAAUUAACAAGGCACAGGGUCAGACCAUCCCAAAUGUCGGCAUUUACCUUCUCGAGCCAGUAUUCUCACAUGGGCAGCUAUAUGUUGCAUUGUCAAGAGGAGUGUCGAGAGAGACGACACGGAUUUUGGCCAAGCCAAACAAGGAUGUUGAUAAAUCCGGGAAAAGCACCAAGAACAUUGUCUACAGAGAUGUUUUGGAGAGAUGA
RNAcentral lists this ribosomal RNA (702 nucleotides) under Triticum aestivum (bread wheat). RNAcentral's name for it is "partial small subunit ribosomal RNA". Lineage: Eukaryota; Viridiplantae; Streptophyta; Magnoliopsida; Poales; Poaceae. The record is from RNAcentral.